Molecule: ribosomal RNA, 253 nt
Filed under: uncultured bacterium
Lineage: Bacteria
Description: partial 16S ribosomal RNA
Rfam family: Bacterial small subunit ribosomal RNA
Source: RNAcentral
UACGGAGGGUGAAAGCGGUAUUCGGAUUUACUGGGCGUAAAGGGCGCGUAGGCGGUCGUAUAAGUCAGAUGUGAAAGCCCGGGGCUCAACCCCGGAAGUGCAUUUGAUACUGUACGACUUGAGUAUGGGAGAGGGAAGUGGAAUUCCUGGUGUAGAGGUGAAAUUCGUAGAUAUCAGGAGGAACACCGGUGGCGAAGGCGACUUCCUGGACCAAUACUGACGCUGAGGCGCGAAGGCGUGGGUAGCAAACAGG